AAUUGAGAUCUUCGGAUUUCAUGGAUUUACACAAAUGAUGUAACAAUGAAACAUCUCAUCGACAAUCAACGGAUCAUAAAACAUCAUUUCCAGAACGAUGUUUGUUAAGUCUCCAAAACUGACGUGCACAUUGAUCUAUAACAACCUACAAAUCCCACACAAACAUGGCAGGGGGAAGGGGAGGGGAGAUUAUUAUUCAUUUAAAUGCAGCAAGUCAAUCCAGCAGGGUAGGUAGAUUGGUUUUACAUGCGAGUACACCACACCAGCAUAGCUCUUAUCUAUACUGUAGCUUUCAUACAAACUGCAACUUCUUGUUGAUGGCUUCCGAUGGUAGGUGACAUUUGUAAGUCACUACUCUAUAUCACUGUGCAUUAUCACCCCACACAUCGUUCCAUGCAGCACCUGGAGCAGCCUUAGGCCCCUCAAUAAAGUUCUGAUUACCAUGAGGUUGGUGCGGACCAGGAAGUGCAUUAGCACCUGGGGGCUGAAUUUUAGGCUUUGUUUUGACCCCCAGCAGUCUCAGCACAAAUCUUGCCAGCUCUCCAUAUAAUAACCCUGAGCGAUCAAACAGCUGAAGGAGCGCUGACAUGAACAUGUGAAAUGCCUGGGUAUUUUGGUCUAUCAACAUUGCAACGCGGCCAAAGAAAGUUACAACACCUUGCAUCACAUGCAUGAAGGAGACCCAGAAGCCUGGUGGAGAAGGUGGAGCACCAUAUGGAUUAUUUGGAUCUUGGUCCCCAUAGGGUCCCAUACCCAUGCCGCCCAUACCACCCAUACCACCCAUGCCAUAACCUCCCAUUGAGCCACCAUACCCACUAUUGUACAUUCCUCCACCAUACAUGCCACCGCCUGCAAGUCCACCAUAACCUCCUCUGUACAUACUGUUUCCAUACAAACCACUUCCGUAUGUGCUUCCAUAGCCACCACCAUAAGAACCAUAUGUUCCAGUUCCAUAUCCAGAAUUAUAAUUCAUACCUGUAUUAAAACCUCCGUAUGAGCUACCGUAAGUUUGCUGCUGCUCCCAAGGUCGAGUAGGUACAGGCCUUGCAAGUGUGUUAUUAUUAACAGCUGUAUUCCUAUUAGCAGUCGAAACAAUCUCACCAGGCCUGGCUGUUCCGGAUGCCUCUACUACGUCACUCGUGUUACCAGCAGAGGGGGGCUUAAAAGGUGCAGGGCCUGAAGAAGACCCAGCUCGUUCCCAGGGUUUUGGGGGUGGGCUACUACCUGACGGCUGCGGCGGUCCGUUUUCCAUCAAUCGGAUAUAGGAAGAAGAAGAAGAGCCGCCGUCGACGACCACUACGACGGAGAGAGAAAGUAGAGAGAGAAAGAAAA
Molecule: unclassified non-coding RNA, 1332 nt
Filed under: Hevea brasiliensis (rubber tree)
Lineage: Eukaryota; Viridiplantae; Streptophyta; Magnoliopsida; Malpighiales; Euphorbiaceae
Source: RNAcentral